GGAGGAAUAUUGCACAACGGGGGGAACCCAGGUGCAGCAACGCCGCGUGAGUGAAGAAGGCCUUCGGGUCGUAAAACUCUUUUCUGAGGGAUGAGGAAGGACAGUACCUCAGGAACAAGUCUCGGCUAACUACGUGCCAGCAGCCGCGGUCAGACGCAGGAGGCGAGCGUUAUCCGGAUUUACUGGGCGUAAAGGGCAAGUAGGCGGUGGUGCAAGUCAGUUGUGACAGAUCCCGGCUCAACUGGGAAAGGACGGUUGAGACUGCAUAAGUAGAGGGCAGGAGAGGGGAGCGGAAUUCCUUGUGUAGCGGUGGAAUGCUCAGAUACAAGGAGGAACAGCAGUGGCGAAGGCGGCUCUCUGGCCUGCACCUGACGCUGAAGAGCGAAAGCUAGGGGAGCGAACGG
Molecule: ribosomal RNA, 404 nt
Filed under: uncultured bacterium
Lineage: Bacteria
Description: bacterial SSU rRNA
Rfam family: Bacterial small subunit ribosomal RNA
Source: RNAcentral